GAUGAACGCUGGCAGCGUGCCUAAUACAUGCAAGUCGAGCGAACAGACGAGGAGCUUGCUCCUCUGACGUUAGCGGCGGACGGGUGAGUAACACGUGGAUAACCUACCUAUAAGACUGGGAUAACUUCGGGAAACCGGAGCUAAUACCGGAUAAUAUAUUGAACCGCAUGGUUCAAUAGUGAAAGACGGUUUUGCUGUCACUUAUAGAUGGAUCCGCGCCGCAUUAGCUAGUUGGUAAGGUAACGGCUUACCAAGGCAACGAUGCGUAGCCACCUGAGAGGGUGGUCGGCCACCCUGGAACGGAAACGCGGUCCAGACUCCUGAGAGAGGCAGCAGUAGGGAAUCUGCCGCAAUGGGCGAAAGCCUGACGGAGCAACGCCGCGUGAGUGAUGAAGGUCUUCGGAUCGUAAAACUCUGUUAUUAGGGAAGAACAAAUGUGUAAGUAACUAUGCACGUCUUGACGGUACCUAAUCAGAAAGCCACGGCUAACUACGUG
RNAcentral lists this ribosomal RNA (496 nucleotides) under uncultured bacterium. RNAcentral describes it as "partial 16S ribosomal RNA". It matches the Rfam family "Bacterial small subunit ribosomal RNA", at positions 28 to 507 of the family's 1533-position model. The record is from RNAcentral.